RNAcentral lists this long non-coding RNA (395 nucleotides) under Vigna radiata. RNAcentral describes it as "long non-coding RNA (VRAD_LNC002337)". The record is from RNAcentral. Lineage: Eukaryota; Viridiplantae; Streptophyta; Magnoliopsida; Fabales; Fabaceae.
UUGGUGCUCUUGUAACCAACAAGCAUCUCUCAGAACUUCACAGUAAGGGUCUCAUCCUUUAGCGGGAGGUAGUUAAUAUCGACGAAGAUGUUGUCGUUACAAAGCGAACAAUGAAAAUUGGCGACGUUGUGACAAGGUGGAGGAACGAUAAUUGGUUUCCAUCGAGGUCAUAAUUGAUUCCCAACACAUUUGUCUUCUAUGAGAAUUGAUUCUCUCGCUAAUUAACUCACAUAACCAAUUCUCAUAUGUUAAAAUUGAUUCUUCUCCUUCCUCAUUCGCUCACAGAAAUCGCAUUUCUUCAUCCAAUGGAUUCUCUCCCUCUCGAGAAUUUCUAUUUACCCCAUAGUAUCACACAACUUCACAACACAUCAGAGCACUCUUCAAACUCCCUCGCU